GACGAACGCUGGCGGCGCGCUUAACACAUGCAAGUCGAACGGAAAGGCCUGCUUUCCCUUGUGGAUUGCGGGUACUCGCGUGGCGAACGGGUGAGUAACACGUGAGUGAUCUGCCCCCAACUUGGGUAUAAGCCUGGGAAACUGGGUCUAAUUCCCGAUAGGACUGCAGGGUGGUGCCUGUGGUGGAAAACGAUUUUCUAGUGGUUGGGGAUGAGCUCGCGGCCUAUCAGCUUGUGGGUGGGGUAAUGGCCUACCGAGGCGGCGACGGGUAGCCGGCCUGGGAGGGUGGACGGCCACAUUUGGACUGAGAUACGGCCCAGACGCCUACGGGAGGCAGCAGUGGGGAAGAUGGCACGAUGGGCGGAAGCCUGAUGCAGCGACGCCGCGUGGGGGAUGACGGCCUUCGGGUUGUGAACUCCUUUCGACCGCGAGGAAGCCACCUGGUUGGAAGGGUGGUGACGGUAGUGGUAGAAGAAGCACCGGCUAACUACGUG
RNAcentral lists this ribosomal RNA (494 nucleotides) under uncultured bacterium. Its description in RNAcentral is "partial 16S ribosomal RNA". It matches the Rfam family "Bacterial small subunit ribosomal RNA", at positions 28 to 507 of the family's 1533-position model. The record is from RNAcentral.